RNAcentral lists this ribosomal RNA (468 nucleotides) under uncultured bacterium. RNAcentral's name for it is "partial 16S ribosomal RNA". It matches the Rfam family "Bacterial small subunit ribosomal RNA", at positions 28 to 507 of the family's 1533-position model. The record is from RNAcentral.
GACGAACGCUGGCGGCGUGCUUAACACAUGCAAGUCGAACGGAAAGGCCCUGCUUUUGUGGGGUGCUCGAGUGGCGAACGGGUGAGUAACACGUGAGUAACCUGCCCUUGACUUUGGGAUAACUUCAGGAAACUGGGGCUAAUACCGGAUAGGAGCUCCUGCUGCAUGGUGGGGGUUGGAAAGUUUCGGCGGUUGGGGAUGGACUCGCGGCUUAUCAGCUUGUUGGUGGGGUAGUGGCUUACCAAGGCUUUGACGGGUAGCCGGCCUGAGAGGGUGACCGGCCACCUUGGGACUGAGGUACCGCCCAGACUCCUACGGGAGGCAGCAGUGGGGAAUAUUGCACAAUGGGCGGAAGCCUGAUGCAGCAACGCCGCGUGCGGGAUGACGGCCUUCGGGUUGUAAACCGCUUUCGCCUGUGACGAAGCGUGAGUGACGGUAAUGGGUAAAGAAGCACCGGCUAACUACGUG